This 1316-nucleotide long non-coding RNA is filed under the name Gossypium barbadense (sea-island cotton). Its description in RNAcentral is "long non-coding RNA (GBAR_LNC010764)". Lineage: Eukaryota; Viridiplantae; Streptophyta; Magnoliopsida; Malvales; Malvaceae. The record is from RNAcentral.
UGAGUGCAUCUAACCUUCCAUAUGUCCCAACUUAAGCGUCAUGUUAGCCAGCAACCAGUUCAACCUGUACUACUAGCAAUGGAUUGGGAUGAGACCCUUCCAAAGGAGCCAGUCCGGAUUAUAGAUAGGAGAUUGGUAAAGAGGGGAAAUUAGGCAACGACCGAGGUAUUGAUCGAAUGGGCAAAUUUGUUUCUAGAGGAUGCUACCUGGGAGAAUUUGGCUGAUCUGCCACGUCGCUUCCCAACCUUCUAUCCUUUAGGUCAAAGAUCCUGUCGACAAUGGGAAUAGUUGUUACGUGCUCAUUUUACUAGUUGAUGUUAUUUCUUUCUAUUUUGAAUAAUACCAUGAGUUUGGAAACAAAUCAAAACACAUGAUUUGGUUGGUUCUGAUCUUGCUGCCUGUAAAUACGUGGGUAGUUUUGAUUUUUAGGGAUUGUAACAGCUACAAGACUUUAUUAUAUAAGCAGGGAGGGGAGUUGACGAGGACACAGUGAAAAUAAAUAAGUUCUUCUCUUUUAUUCGCAAAUUAUCAUAUUUAUCUUUUCUUUGUCAUACUUCUUCCCUAUUUCUUUCUUUCUUCUUCUUGUCUACUAUUAUUUUCUACUGUAAGUUGCUGCAAAUUCUUAAGUAAAAUUCAACCCAGUUCCAACAAUUAACAUAUCAACAAAGUGAUGGUUGUAACAAAAGAUGAAUCAGUCAGUGCUGCGUUGAUAGAAGAAAGUAAAGAGAGGAUUAAGAAAUUUGACUACGUAAGAUUUAGAUUCGUACCUCGAACAGCAAAUCGAGCUGUACACAAAAUGGCUCAAGACUCACCGACGUUCUGGGUUGAAGAAGCACCAGAAAAAGUCGUAAGAAUAGUAGAUUUGGAUAGAGGGAGUAUGAGUAGAGAAGAAGUGUUAAAUUUUUCUGAGUAAAAUGACAAAGAUAUAAGAACGAAGUGCGAUUAAAACUCAAAGUUACAGAAGAGAAGAAUCAGAGCAAGAGUUCAAGAAAUAACUUCACUAGAAAUGGGGUAGAUUCACUCCUUAUUCAAAUGCUGAUGAAGAGAGGAAAGGGGGAAAGAAUGAGGCUAACGGCUUGUUUACCCACCGGUUUUUUUGUUUGAUUGUUAUGUUCUGCUUUUUAGGAUUUCUAAAGGGUUUUCUUUUGUGUUUUUAGGAGUUACUCUUGUAAAGAGUUUUUUAUUAGGAUUAGAGGACAAGGGCCUUAAAUGGCUUUUAACAGACCGUAGUAGAUGGUUUAAUGAGUUUUUCCUUCUUCUAAUUAAUGUAUCAGUAGAAAUUAAGUUAAUAAAAAUUAAAACUCAAUUUUACUAAG